UACGUAGGGGGCAAGCGUUGUCCGGAUUUAUUGGGCGUAAAGAGCGUGUAGGCGGCCAGGUAGGUCUGCUGUGAAAACUCGAGGCUUAACCUCGAGCUGUCGGCGGAAACCAUCUGGCUAGAGUUCGGAAGAGGAGAAUGGAAUUCCCGGUGUAGCGGUGAAAUGCGCAGAUAUCGGGAAGAACACCCGUGGCGAAGGCGGCUCUCUGGGACGGUACUGACGCUGAGACGCGAAAGCGUGGGGAGCGAACAGG
Molecule: ribosomal RNA, 253 nt
Filed under: uncultured bacterium
Lineage: Bacteria
Description: partial 16S ribosomal RNA
Rfam family: Bacterial small subunit ribosomal RNA
Source: RNAcentral